GCGUCCUUCAUCUAAAGGGAAAGAGCCCUGUUUGCCAUACAGGGGAUGCGAGCCCGAACCUCGCAGGACGCUCCA
Molecule: transfer RNA, 75 nt
Filed under: Oscillospiraceae bacterium
Lineage: Bacteria; Bacillati; Bacillota; Clostridia; Eubacteriales; Oscillospiraceae
Description: tRNA-Gly
Source: RNAcentral